GACCAUCAAUGAUUUAUUUAUAGAGGCACCAGCCAUCCAUGUCCAUGUGCUGUUUUAGCCUAAUAUUAUAGGUAUGGAAACAUGGGUGGAAUGGCACAGAUUUGUUUGGGGUUUUUUUGCUCACUGUAAGUGUGUGGCCUUGAGCAGGGUCAACUUGAUCUGCUGACCUGUAGUGUCUGUGUGACCUGUGAAUGCUGUGUGGCCUGUGAUAUUCUUCAGAGAAGGAGAGAAGAGUUGUAAAGUUUGACAAGUUUGACGGUGUAGAAUUAGAAAUGUAUUUUGAAAUUUGUUCAUUUGAAAGAAAAAGACCUUCUUUUGUUGUUUCCCCAAUGACCGGAAACGGAACAUAGGCCUUCUGUCUAUCGUCGUAUGACGUUCUUUAAAGGUAUUAUUACCUGUAUUACCUGUACUGGGCAACAACGUCAUUGCACACCGGACAGGUCCGUAAGUGCUCAGUUCCCCCCAGCACCAAAGCCCGCAAGGUAUCCAUACUCUUCAAAGGUAUAUCAAGCUCGAGCAGUCCCAAGUAGAUCUAUUUUAUUGAUAUUUAAUUAAUUUAUUACUAUAAUUUUUUUUUCGUAAUGUUUAUUUUAAUGUUCAGACAAUAUCCAUGUUUUGUCCCAGGAAGCAAGACAUAAUAUUGUUUUGUGAAUGGAAAUGAAUAGACAGUUAGAGACAUAAUAGAUUGGCUUGCAUUCUUCAAGUUUGGAGGUCAGUUUUAAUUUUAAAUGCAAAAAAA
Aplysia californica (California sea hare) is the source of this 739-nucleotide long non-coding RNA. RefSeq lists it as uncharacterized. NCBI's taxonomy places the organism in Eukaryota, Metazoa, Mollusca, Gastropoda, Aplysiida, Aplysiidae. The record is from RefSeq and is a predicted model, not a curated record. The transcript has 2 exons.